RNAcentral lists this RNase P RNA (305 nucleotides) under Methylophilaceae bacterium. RNAcentral's name for it is "RNase P RNA component class A". It matches the Rfam family "Bacterial RNase P class A". Rfam says of the family: Ribonuclease P (RNase P) is a ubiquitous endoribonuclease, found in archaea, bacteria and eukarya as well as chloroplasts and mitochondria. Lineage: Bacteria; Pseudomonadati; Pseudomonadota; Betaproteobacteria; Nitrosomonadales; Methylophilaceae. The record is from RNAcentral.
GAAGUUAGCUAGACAGUCGCCGUCACACUUGUGUGAAGGAGGAAAGUCCGGGCUGCAUAGAGCAAGAUGACGGCUAACGGCCGGACGCCGCGAGGCGAGGAAUAGGGCCACAGAGACGAGCGUAUUUAGUUACGGUGAAACGCGGCAACCUCCAUCUGCAGCAAGACCAAAUAGACUGGCAAUAGGCGUGACUCGCGCUGCUAGUGGGUAGGUUGCUUGAGCGCAUGAGCAAUUGUGUGCCUAGAUGAAUGACUGUUACGUGCAGCAAUGCACGACAGAACCCGGCUUAUCGGCUAACUUCACAA